CAGCGAAGCAUUUCUCCCCCCACCUCUACAGCUGUCUCUGGCACACUCUCUCUCUUCUUUUUAACCCCCUAUGGCGGUGCGCUUCUCCCUCUUUCCGCCCCCCUCUCUCUCUCUCUCUCUUCCCCUCUACUCGAGCCUCUCUCUCUUCCUCUCUACCCGAGCCUCUCUCUCUCUCUCUCCCUUCCCCUCUACUCCUGGCCGCGCCCCGCUUUCUCUCGCUCCCCCUCUCCUCAAGCUGCUGCUCCUCUCUCUCUCUUCCAUCCCUAGCAUUCUCUCUCUCUUCCUUUCUCCUCUUUCUCUCUCUUAACCUCUCUUCGAUCCGACGCUCCCCUCCCCUGGCCUCCAGCUGUCACCCACCGCGGGAUCCGAUCUCUCCCUUCGCUCUACGACACCCGCACCCCUCCCUCUCUCUCCUCUAUCUCUUUGUAAUUUCCUCUACCUUCUCUCUCGCUCUCUAGGUCUAACCCUCGU
This 471-nucleotide long non-coding RNA is filed under the name Ananas comosus (pineapple). Its description in RNAcentral is "long non-coding RNA (ACOM_LNC035337)". Lineage: Eukaryota; Viridiplantae; Streptophyta; Magnoliopsida; Poales; Bromeliaceae. The record is from RNAcentral.